This 200-nucleotide ribosomal RNA is filed under the name uncultured Glomus. Its description in RNAcentral is "partial small subunit ribosomal RNA". It matches the Rfam family "Eukaryotic small subunit ribosomal RNA", at positions 591 to 797 of the family's 1831-position model. Lineage: Eukaryota; Fungi; Glomeromycota; Glomeromycetes; Glomerales; Glomeraceae. The record is from RNAcentral.
CCAAUAGCGUAUAUUAAAGUUGUUGCAGUUAAAAAGCUCGUAGUUGAAUUUCGGGAUCAGUUGGUCGGUCGUGCCUCGGUACGUACUGGUCAAAUUGAUUCCUACCUUCUGACGAACCACGAUGUCAUUAAUUUGGUGUCGUGGGGAAUUAGGACUGUUACUUUGAAAAAAUUAGAGUGUUUAAAGCAGGCUCGCGCUUG